UUCAAGUUCUUCUUCUCGGAUCCUGCUAGGGGUGGAAAUUUGUUUGCGGUUAGUGGUUAUAAUCGCUAACCGAACUGUGGAUUGUGGUUUUUUCUUAACCAGUAAUCGCAAACUCGAUUAGUGGUUUGGUGUUCGGUGGACAAUUUAGCAUAUUUGUGGUUUGCGGUUUAACCAGAAACCGGUUGAUUAACCAAUGAAAAAUCGAAGUAACAGGGAAAAAUACUAAUCUAUUCCCCCACAUGUAAAUACUGUCUUAUCUCAAAUCUCAAACUCAAACACAAAAUCAAAUUGCACUAUCUGUCGGCUCUCCAUGGGAAUCGUCGGACAACUCACCACCGAUCAGCUCAGCUUCUUCAAUUCCUUAUCGGCGAAUCAAUCCUCGUCUCUGUCGGCUCUCCUUGGUCUUGCUGGUUACCUCAUCGAUCAUCUCAAUUUCUUCAAUUCCUCGUCUCUGUCGGCUCUUCCUUGGCCUUUUAGGUUACCUCGUCGUCGAAUCAUUCGGCAACUCCGAUGAAAUCGACGCCAUGAGGAAGAGGAUGGAAAAGAUGCUCGACGAUUUUGACUGCUCCUCUUCCUCGGUCUUCUCCAUAAAAAACCAGGUUCAAUCUUCUUCUUCUCAGCCUUCCAUUUGUUCUCUCUUGACGGUCUCUGUCUUUGAAUACUUCACUAUAUCUUGAUUCCAUUGAGUGCUCUGAUUGUGUUGAUGUCGCCAGAAAAAGCAUUUGAUAACGGAGGGAACUCGAAGCAGCCUAAGGAUUUUUGUUGGAUCGUAUUUUGAUUUUUGGAGAAAAUGUGAAACAAUGUGAUUUUAUGGUGAACAACUAACCAAACCAAAAAUCGAGAUUCGGUUAGUGGUUCACCAUAAAACCGAACCGGUGUGGUUUUCGAUAAGGAAAUGUCUUCUUUUGUUAUUCGGUUAAUCGGGAAAUUUGGUUAUUUUUUUGUUAAACCAAAACCAAACCAUUUCCACUCCUAGAUCCGGCUAAAGCUCUGAAAGUCCUUGGUCAACGUCUCCUGACCUUCGACAACUACUUGAUCAGCGCUAUUCCCUAGGAGGCUCCUUCGUCCACCAUUUUCUCAGAGCUGCGGUUUGUGGAUUUUUCGGUUUGCUUGCACAGUUUUCCGAAGCGAUACUGUUCUCCUGGAAUCGCUAAGGGACUCUACUCCAUCUUGGGGGAGGUUCUGGAUCCUUAUAUCUUUGAUCGCCCAGGAUCAGAAGAUUACUAUCCCCCUGCUUUGGUGCGGAUCAAAGUCGAGAAACCUUUCCUUGGCCAUCGAGAGCUCAAGGAUGGGUCCGUUCAUCAGAGCUCCAAUGGCG
This 1318-nucleotide long non-coding RNA is filed under the name Linum usitatissimum (flax). RNAcentral describes it as "long non-coding RNA (LUSI_LNC005372)". The record is from RNAcentral. Lineage: Eukaryota; Viridiplantae; Streptophyta; Magnoliopsida; Malpighiales; Linaceae.